GGCGGAAGUGAGGUCAUUCACGCGGGAGUAAAGUGAAAACUGAGUCGCACGUGAGCAGCAUGGAGGGGAAGAAGGCAUUUAAUUACAAGACAUUCCAUCGUUAUACAGUGCGUGCUAAGGGAGAAGAAUCUUGAGCUCAUCAAGACAAGGACCAGGGUCACGGGGGCCAAGUCAGCCGGAGUGUGUAUUAGACGCCACAAUCGGGCCGCACUUAUGAUGGUGCCUAAGGCGUAGAGCCUACCGUCUGUUAACUCUGAUACUUCACGGAUUUCUUGGGUGGGUGAAAGGAGAAUCCCUAUUCCAUCCUGUGCAGUCUGGACUUUUCCAGACCCUUCGGGUGAAUACACUGGGUUUUCAAAGGCCCAGCGACUAUCCUGCCGCAAAUAUGGGCAUGGAAUAGAAUUUGUGCAGACUCAAAUUUUUGUGUGCUAGAUGAUUUCAGUUGUAUUUCAUUGGUUUCUCUUAUUAACGUCUUUUUCUAUAAUAAAAAUUAUAACAUU
Long non-coding RNA from Rana temporaria (common frog), 500 nucleotides. RefSeq lists it as uncharacterized. The transcript is spliced from 3 exons. Lineage: Eukaryota; Metazoa; Chordata; Amphibia; Anura; Ranidae. The record is from RefSeq and is a predicted model, not a curated record.